UCUCGUAGCCUAGAUUUGA
Molecule: non-coding RNA, 19 nt
Filed under: Sclerotinia sclerotiorum
Lineage: Eukaryota; Fungi; Ascomycota; Leotiomycetes; Helotiales; Sclerotiniaceae
Source: RNAcentral